This 678-nucleotide long non-coding RNA is filed under the name Phascolarctos cinereus (koala). Its description in RNAcentral is "lncRNA (ENSPCIG00000018671.2)". Lineage: Eukaryota; Metazoa; Chordata; Mammalia; Diprotodontia; Phascolarctidae. The record is from RNAcentral.
CCUACCAGCUCAGAAAGGCCUGAAGGCGUUCGCGUACCCCCACAGCCAGCAUCCCCAAACAUGCCAGCCCCCAGCCCCAGGCAGAACCGCUUCAUCCCUUUCCCCAGCCCCGUCCGCGUCUUCCCAGUCAGGACUUGUUCACCUGGAGCUUCAUCCUCUUGGGGCAGAGCGAAAAGGUGACCCUGGGGAUGGCGGAAGGGAGACCCUGAGAUGCAGUUCUGCUCGGUUCUGGCUGGGCUCUUCCAGACUUCAAUUAGACGAAUCUGAGCAGCGUCUGAAAGGGGAAGGCUUGCUGAAUGGUAAUUGGAGAAGGAGAGAAGAAACGAAGUUAUGGGGAAGAGGAUGGAAAUACUACCUUCCUGGUGGCCUCAGGUUGUCUGCUGUCACAGAUGAGGCUCUAACAGAGAUGCUGCUGUCUUUUACGGAGCUGUCAAUGCCUGCAUGCCUGUGCAUGUCUGUGUGCACAUGCCUAUGGGUGUGCAUCUGUGUUUGGCCUUGGUGUAUUUGUGUAUUCCUGAGAGCUGAGUACAGUGGAAAGAUCGCUGGACCCCAGAUUCAGAAGCCCGGCUUUAAGACUGCAUUUCGUAGGGAAGGAGUUUAUUUGCACUGGUAAGUGAAGUUUCUCCAUAGUUACUCCCUAUAGCAUUAUAAUCACAGGAAAGAAAGAAAGAAAAAGGA